This 380-nucleotide ribosomal RNA is filed under the name uncultured soil bacterium. RNAcentral describes it as "bacterial SSU rRNA". It matches the Rfam family "Bacterial small subunit ribosomal RNA", at positions 26 to 408 of the family's 1533-position model. The record is from RNAcentral.
AGAUUGAACGCUAGCGGGAUGCUUUACACAUGCAAGUCGAACGGCAGCGCGGACUUCGGUCUGGCGGCGAGUGGCGAACGGGUGAGUAAUAUAUCGGAACGUGCCCAGUAGCGGGGGAUAACUACGCGAAAGCGUGGCUAAUACCGCAUACGCCCUACGGGGGAAAGGGGGGGAUCGCAAGACCUCUCACUAUUGGAGCGGCCGAUAUCAGAUUAGCUAGUUGGUGAGGUAAAGGCUCACCAAGGCGACGAUCUGUAGCUGGUUUGAGAGGACGACCAGCCACACUGGGACUGAGACACGGCCCAGACUCCUACGGGAGCAGCAGUAGGGGAAUUUUGGACAAGUGGGGGAAACCUGAUCCAGCCAUCCCGCGUGUGCGA